GUGUAGGAUAGGUGGGAGGCUUUGAAGUGUGGACGCCAGUCUGCAUGGAGCCGACCUUGAAAUACCACCCUUUAAUGUUUGAUGUUCUAACGUGGACCCGUAAUCCGGGUUGCGGACAGUGUCUGGUGGGUAGUUUGACUGGGGCGGUCUCCUCCUAAAGAGUAACGGAGGAGCACGAAGGUUGGCUAAUCCUGGUCGGACAUCAGGAGGUUAGUGCAAUGGCAUAAGCCAGCUUGACUGCGAGCGUGACGGCGCGAGCAGGUGCGAAAGCAGGUCAUAGUGAUCCGGUGGUUCUGAAUGGAAGGGCCAUCGCUCAACGGAUAAAAGGUACUCCGGGGAUAACAGGCUGAUACCGCCCAAGAGUUCAUAUCGACGGCGGUGUUUGGCACCUCGAUGUCGGCUCAUCACAUCCUGGGGCUGAAGUAGGUCCCAAGGGUAUGGCUGUUCGCCAUUUAAAGUGGUACGCGAGCUGGGUUUAGAACGUCGUGAGACAGUUCGGUCCCUAUCUGCCGUGGGCGCUGGAGAACUGAGGGGGGCUGCUCCUAGUACGAGAGGACCGGAGUGGACGCAUCACUGGUGUUCGGGUUGUCAUGCCAAUGGCACUGCCCGGUAGCUAAAUGCGGAAGAGAUAAGUGCUGAAAGCAUCUAAGCACGAAACUUGCCCCGA
This 667-nucleotide ribosomal RNA is filed under the name Salmonella enterica subsp. enterica serovar Infantis. RNAcentral's name for it is "partial 23S ribosomal RNA". It matches the Rfam family "Bacterial large subunit ribosomal RNA", at positions 2136 to 2802 of the family's 2925-position model. Lineage: Bacteria; Pseudomonadati; Pseudomonadota; Gammaproteobacteria; Enterobacterales; Enterobacteriaceae. RNAcentral also lists the same sequence under 6 other names. The record is from RNAcentral.